This is a non-coding RNA of Triticum aestivum (bread wheat), 125 nucleotides long. NCBI's taxonomy places the organism in Eukaryota, Viridiplantae, Streptophyta, Magnoliopsida, Poales, Poaceae. The record is from Rfam.
CAACUACUACCUCCGUCUGAAAACCUUCUCCCAAACUUGUUUCUCAAAUGGAUGUAUCUAGCACUAAUUUGAUGCUAGAUACAUCCAUUUGAGAGACAAGCUUUUUCGGACGGAGGGAGUAGCUU